GAUCCUGGCUCAGGACGAACGCUGGCGGCGUGCCUAACACAUACAAGUCGAACGGAAAAUUGAGCUUCGGUUCAAUUUUAGUGGCGAACGGGUGAGUAACGCGUAGGCAACCUGCCCUUUAGACGGGGACAACAUUCCGAAAGGGAUGCUAAUACCGGAUGUGACGCUCCCAUCGCAUGACGGGAGCGUGAAAGAUGGCCUCUACAUGUAAGCUAUCGCUAAAGGAUGGGCCUGCGUCUGAUUAG
This 245-nucleotide ribosomal RNA is filed under the name uncultured bacterium. RNAcentral's name for it is "partial 16S ribosomal RNA". It matches the Rfam family "Bacterial small subunit ribosomal RNA", at positions 15 to 244 of the family's 1533-position model. The record is from RNAcentral.